RNAcentral lists this unclassified non-coding RNA (351 nucleotides) under soil metagenome. RNAcentral describes it as "partial contains 5.8S ribosomal RNA, internal transcribed spacer 2, and large subunit ribosomal RNA". The stretch from base 1 to 120 matches the Rfam family "5.8S ribosomal RNA", at positions 35 to 154 of the family's 154-position model. The record is from RNAcentral.
GAUGAAGAACGUAGCGAAAUGCGAUAAGUAAUGUGAAUUGCAGAAUUCCGUGAAUCAUCGAAUCUUUGAACGCACAUUGCGCCCCCUGGCAUUCCGGGGGGCAUGCCUGUCCGAGCGUCAUUUCUGCCCUCAAGCCCGGCUUGUGUGUUGGGCGUGGUCCCCCCGGUUUAGGGGGGACCUGCCCGAAAGGCAGCGGCGACGUUCCGCCUAGGUCCUCGAGCGUAUGGGGCUUUGUCACCCGCUCUGUAGGCCCGGCAGGCGCCCGCCGGCGACCCCAAUCAAUCUUUUUCAGGUUGACCUCGGAUCAGGUAGGGAUACCCGCUGAACUUAAGCAUAUCAAUAAGCGGAGGA